RNAcentral lists this ribosomal RNA (472 nucleotides) under uncultured bacterium. RNAcentral's name for it is "bacterial SSU rRNA". It matches the Rfam family "Bacterial small subunit ribosomal RNA", at positions 355 to 825 of the family's 1533-position model. The record is from RNAcentral.
UGGGGAAUAUUGGACAAUGGGCGAAAGCCUGAUCCAGCCAUGCCGCGUGUGUGAAGAAGGUCUUCGGAUUGUAAAGCACUUUAAGUUGGGAGGAAGGGCAGUAAGUUAAUACCUUGCUGUUUUGACGUUACCGACAGAAUAAGCACCGGCUAACUCUGUGCCAGCAGCCGCGGUAAUACAGAGGGUGCAAGCGUUAAUCGGAAUUACUGGGCGUAAAGCGCGCGUAGGUGGUUAGUUAAGUUGGAUGUGAAAUCCCCGGGCUCAACCUGGGAACUGCAUUCAAAACUGACUGACUAGAGUAUGGUAGAGGGUGGUGGAAUUUCCUGUGUAGCGGUGAAAUGCGUAGAUAUAGGAAGGAACACCAGUGGCGAAGGCGACCACCUGGACUGAUACUGACACUGAGGUGCGAAAGCGUGGGGAGCAAACAGGAUUAGAUACCCAUGUAGUCCCUGAGCGGGCUGGCAAGGCGCAU